UACGUAGGCAGCGAGCGUUGUUCGGAGUUACUGGGCGUAAAGGGUGUGUAGGCGGUUGUUUAAGUUUGGUGUGAAAUCUCCCAGCUCAACUGGGAGGGUGCGCCGAAUACUGAAUGACUUCGAGUGCGGGAGAGGAGAGUGGAAUUCCUGGUGUAGCGGUGAAAUGCGUAGAUAUCAGGAGGAACACCGGUGGUGUAGACGGCUCUCUGGACCGUAACUGACGCUGAGACACGAAAGCGUGGGUAGCAAACAGG
RNAcentral lists this ribosomal RNA (254 nucleotides) under uncultured bacterium. RNAcentral's name for it is "partial 16S ribosomal RNA". It matches the Rfam family "Bacterial small subunit ribosomal RNA", at positions 524 to 776 of the family's 1533-position model. The record is from RNAcentral.